UUUUUUUUUUUUUUUUUUUUUUUAAGAAACUUAGAAUGUUUGGUAUAUUUGGUCAUCCCACUUAAGCUGUUGGCUCCUUCAUUCAUUCAUUCAUUCAUUCAUUCAUUCAGUGAUUCAAUGUUUAUGACACUGCUUUGUGCCAGACAUAGAGCUUUGCACUGAGGUCAAAGGUGACAAGGCAGCCUGUUGUUUCAACUGGUGACCUGCUUAGCCUAGUUUCCCUUUGAGUUUGGCUUAUCAUGUUACUGAUGCAGAAAAACAUUUUAUGUAUUUUUCAGUAGACCAAUAGUGAUAAUAUUGUUUUAAUGAAGAAAGCUUUUAGGUUUCUGGAGAGAGGGAAGAAAAAUAAUGUGUAAAAAAUAGGCAUCCAUCUGAUGUGAUACCUUUGAAAUAAGAAUAUUUGGAAGGUCUUUACUGAGUUUCUCAUGGAAUUCUGGUGGAUGACUUUAGUGUAGAUGCAUGCUAUAUAGCUGUGGAAAGAUGAUCUCCCACUCAGAAUUGGCUUUAUUUUUGCUACUUUUUAGCACUCUGACUUUGGGUAGUCUUCAGCCUCUUGGACCCUUUGUUUUCUCUUCAGAAAAAUGAAGAGUCUAAGGUGCUAUUUCUAGCACCAGAAAAAUUGUACACUCUUAAAAAAUAGCUAAAGGAAAAAUAUGAAUAAGGUCUGUGGGUUGUACCAAUGUCAAUUUCCUGGUUUUGUAUUAUAGUUAUGUAAAAUGUUGCCAUUUGAGAACACUGGAUAAAGGGUACAUGAGGCUUUCUCUGUACUACUUUUGCAACUUGCUGUGAAUCUAUAAUUAGCACUUUGGGAGGUAAAGGAGGGAGAAUCACUUGAGCCCAGGAGUUUGAGACCAGCCUGGGCAACAUGGCAAGACCCUGUCUCUAUAUAAUAAAGUAAUUUGAAAAAGAAAAAAACACAGACCCUGUCUUUAUAUAAUAAAAUAAUUUUUUUUUUUUUUUUAAAAAGUUAAGGUCUGGUGCGGUGGCUCACGCUUAUAAUCCCAGCACUUUGGGAGGCUGAGGUAGAGGAUGGCUGGAGCCCAGGAGUUCAAGACCAGUCUGGGCAAGAUGGUGAGACCUGGUCUCUACAAACAUUUAAAAAAAAAAAAAAUUAGCCAGGCAUAGCAACCCACACCUAUGUUCCCAGUUACAUGGGACGCUGAGGCAGGAAGAUCACUUGGGCCCAGAAGGUUGAGGCUGCAGUGAGCUGUGUUCCUGCUCUUUAAGACCCUGUCUCAAAAAAAAAAAAAAAAAAAA
RNAcentral lists this long non-coding RNA (1257 nucleotides) under Homo sapiens (human). RNAcentral's name for it is "novel transcript, sense intronic to CPEB4". The record is from RNAcentral. Lineage: Eukaryota; Metazoa; Chordata; Mammalia; Primates; Hominidae.